CCUACGGGUGGCAGCAGUGGGGAAUAUUGCACAAUGGGCGCAAGUCUGAUCCAGCAAAGCAGCGUGAAGGAAGAAGGGUUUCGGCGCGGAAACUUCUAUCAACAGGGGCGAAAGAAAUGACGGUACCGGAAUGAGAAGCACCGGCUAACUCCGUGCCGGCAGCCGAGGUAAGACGUAGGGGGCAAGCGUUAUCCGGAAUUACUGGGUGUAAAGGGUGAUUAGGCGGCAUGGUAAGCCAGAUGUGAAAGCCUUGGGCUCAACCCUAGGAUUGCAUUUGGAACUAUCAAGCUAGAGUACAGGCGAGGAAAGCGGAAUUCAUAGUGUAGCGGUGAAAUGCGUAGAUAUUAGGAAGAACACCAGUGGCGAAGGCGGCUUUCUGGACUGAAACUGACGCUGAGGCACGAAAGCGUGGGGAGCGAACAGGAUUAGAUACCCGUGUAGUC
Molecule: ribosomal RNA, 443 nt
Filed under: uncultured bacterium
Lineage: Bacteria
Description: partial 16S ribosomal RNA
Rfam family: Bacterial small subunit ribosomal RNA
Source: RNAcentral